Molecule: ribosomal RNA, 868 nt
Filed under: Aspidapion aeneum
Lineage: Eukaryota; Metazoa; Arthropoda; Insecta; Coleoptera; Brentidae
Description: partial 16S ribosomal RNA
Rfam family: tRNA (bases 683-746)
Source: RNAcentral
UUCAGAGGAACCUGUCCUAUAAUUGAUAGUCCACAAUUUAAAUAACUUAUUUUAUUAAUUUACAUAUCGUCGUAGUUUGAAUAUUUUUUAAAAAAUAAAAUAUUCAAAAUUUUUUUUUGGAAUGGAAUUCAGAUCAAGGUGUAGUUUAUAAAUAAGAAGAGAUGGGUUACAAUAAAUUUAUUUAAAUGGAUGAUAAUUUAAAAAUUUAUUUGAAGGUGGAUUUGAAAGUAAUUUAAAUUAAAUAAUUAAAAUGAUUUUAGCUCUAAAAUAUGUACAUAUCGCCCGUCAUUUUCAUUAUAAAGUGAAACAAGUCGUAACAUAGUAGGUGUACUGGAAAGUGUACCUAGAAUGACAAAUUAGAGCUUGUAAGAAAGCAUUUUAUUUACAUUAAAAAGUUUAUUGUGAGAAUCAAUAUAAUUUGAAUAAAGAUUAUUAUUAAUUUUAAUAAUUUAUUAUUUAUUUUAAUAAAAUAAUUUUAAGUUUUAUUAUAAAAAUGAAAAAAUUUGAUUAAUUAUAGUAAAUUAGUAUUGUGAAAGAAUUAAUAAAUAUUUUUAAAAAAAUAAUUUAUUUUUAUUCAAACCGGUGUGAGCCAGGUUGGUUUCUAUCUCAAAUUAGUUAAUAUAUUUUAGUACGAAAGGACCGAAUAUAUAUUAUUAUAUAAUUUGAAUAUGAUAAACCAUUAGUUAUUUUGGCAGAAUAGUGCAAUAGAUUUAGAAUCUAUAAAUGUAAAUUUUUUACAAAUAAUACUUGAUAAUAAAAGAUUUAAUAAUAAUAAUAGUUUCAAUAUUAAUUUUAUCUUUAAGAGUAAUAAUUAGUGUAGCAUUUUUAACUUUAAUAGAACGAAAAGUUUUAGGAUAUAUUCAAAUUC